This is a long non-coding RNA of Mauremys mutica (yellowpond turtle), 1322 nucleotides long. RefSeq lists it as uncharacterized. The transcript has 3 exons. Lineage: Eukaryota; Metazoa; Chordata; Testudines; Geoemydidae. The record is from RefSeq and is a predicted model, not a curated record.
CCAGUGAAUGUCAAAUGCCAGAACAGACACAAAGCCUGAUUUAUUGGUUAUAUCGCCAUUCCACCAAACACUUGCAGCAAACAACCCCCUACUACAAUACACUCUGCUGCUGGAUCUUGGGAGAGUCAAAUAGAGCAUUAUGCAACAGUCCUGAACGUGAAAUUUGGAACCACCGUAGACUAGCAGGCAGCAAAGGCCCUCGUUUUUGAAGCAGAAGGUCAUGAGUUAUACCCUGCUGCCGCAUGACUGUGAAAUGAGCAGUGAGUAUAUAUAUGUGUAUGAUUGUCCACAGAUUAUUUAUUUGUAAAAUACAGGGCCACUGAAUAGCCCUCAGAUGGUAACAACUUUCAGUCACUACAGAUAGGGCUGGAUUCGAAUUGGUACCCUGCAGCUGAGAAACUGGAUAGCACAUCACCAGUCCUUUGAGCCAGGCUGUCUCCCAUCUUACCAACACCCAACUCCCUCCACUUAGGGCUAAGCCAUUGAAGACCAUCCCCACAUCCUCUUCUCAAGUGCCACAUUGCAGCAACCUGUCUUCUGACCAAGGAGAGCUGGGUGGGACUGUUCGGCCCCACUAAAGCUCUCAGAUUGGCCAGACACAUUGCAGCAGACCAAUACGGGGUACUCUUGCCCUAAAUAGCCAAGUCCCCUAUGUUGCUUUCACAUGGCAGUGCAGGGCACCAGCCAAGGGGUCAGGAGCUUGGCCUGGUUUGAAAAAUACCAUUUACGUUUAAAAUAAACAGCGCUGGCUUUCAAGAGCAGUAACCUAGAUCUCCUUCCCAGCUUGGAUGGACAUGGAGCUUACUGAUCUCUAAGCACACUGACUACACAGGGCCGGGAAGGGGAGGUUGGCCACCUUUGUGAGGGAGAAGAGACUGAGGGAGAAUGAGAGACUGAAGAAUAACCUCCCUUAGACCCAGUUCAGAAAAACAUCCCUGUUCAAGGUAUCAAAGGCUGGAAGGGUUUGCCUUCACCUCUGUCCUUCUGGACUUGAAAGAAUUUGCUAGUUUUUUUUAUGUAAUUGGAUUGUGCCCUACACCAUUAACAACCCCCCUCUGGAGGGACGUCGUUUUCUCGGGGAAGACCGAGUCACAGACCUUUGCUGCUGCAGUUCUCUCCCUGAAGAGCUAACGUGAACCUUCAGCCCUUUUGCACGGUAAAUUAAAAGCAGCACUACACUCUGAAAGCUGUGUCAACCGCUUCAUUUAGCACAAGUGUUAUGUUAACUAACAGCCCUAUUCCACAGGGGCCUUUGGCCUCACAGAAGCCUAAUUUCCAUGUAAUUUACAUUGGACAGUCGCAGAAUGCACCUCCUAGGCUCU